Molecule: ribosomal RNA, 253 nt
Filed under: uncultured bacterium
Lineage: Bacteria
Description: partial 16S ribosomal RNA
Rfam family: Bacterial small subunit ribosomal RNA
Source: RNAcentral
UACGCAGGGGGUAAGCGUUGUCCGGAUUCAUUGGGCGUAAAGAGCGUGUAGGCGGCCAGGUAGGUCGGUUGUGAAAACUGGAGGCUCAACCUUCAGAGGUCGACCGAAACCAUCUGGCUAGAGUCCGGGAGAGGAGAGUGGAAUUCCUGGUGUAGCGGUGAAGUGCGCAGAUAUCAGGAAGAACACCCGUGGCGAAAGCGGCUCUCUGGAACGGUACUGACGCUGAGACGCGAAAGCGUGGGGAGCGAACAGG